CUUUCACCAUUCACCUUGUGGUCUUCUCUCACGUGUUGAAUAUCUUCUUUCAUACAAAGAAGAUGAGCCUUCUUGCACCUCUUGCUGCCUUGUAUGACUCAUGGAGUGCUUUCUCUUACUCAUUUUUUGGUAUUCUUCAUCUUCAUUCUCUUCAUUGUCCUUGUUGUAUCUUGCUGGAAUUGAAGUCUUCAUAGUAUUGGGCUCUUCUAUCAUGGCAACUUCCUCUCCUUCUUCACUUUGAGAAUGCACUUCUUCAUCUUCUUGUUUGUUUGUUGGAAUUGAAGAUGU
Molecule: long non-coding RNA, 288 nt
Filed under: Physcomitrium patens
Lineage: Eukaryota; Viridiplantae; Streptophyta; Bryopsida; Funariales; Funariaceae
Description: long non-coding RNA (PPAT_LNC003093)
Source: RNAcentral